UUCAUAAUUAUCUUAAGGAAUGACUUGAUUCUUACUUGUGCUUGUUCUUUUUAAAAGUAUUAGAAAGGAAGAUAUCCACACGACAAAGUAGAGAGGAGCUGAUAAGAAGGGGAGUGCUUAAGGAAUUGCCUGAUCAAGAUGGAGAUGUAACAGUUAACUUUGAAAAUUCAAACGGGCACAUGAUACCCAUCGGAGAGGAAUCUACCCGAGAGGAAAAUGUAGUAAAGUCUGAAGAAGGUAAUGGCUCUGUAUCUGAAAAAACACCACCUCUGGAGGAACAGGCAGAAGAUAAGAAAGCUGGCUCCUCUCAUUCAAAAAAAACAACUGGCUCUAAAGCAUCAGGUUCGCCAUCCACUUCAUCCACCUCAUCUCGUCCCAAAGCUUCAAAGGAGACAGUUUCUAGCAAAGCAGGGACAGUGGGGACCACCAAGGGCAAGAAAAAAACUGGCAAGCAGCCAAUGACUUCUCGCCUGUCCUCAGACACAACCACUUCUGGCACAUCCGACCUUAAAGGAGAGCCUUCAGAGACCAGAGUGGAGAGUUUCAAACUCGAACAGACUGUCCCUGGAGCUGAGGAGCAGAGCACAGGCAAAUCCAAGUCCAUGGUCCCUCCACCCCCUGUGGCUCCAGCACCUUCUCCUCCGGCCCCCCCUCUCCCUCUUGAGGAUCAGUGCAUUACUGCCUCAGACACUCCAGUUGUCC
RNAcentral lists this small RNA (702 nucleotides) under Pan troglodytes (chimpanzee). RNAcentral's name for it is "retained intron". Lineage: Eukaryota; Metazoa; Chordata; Mammalia; Primates; Hominidae. The record is from RNAcentral.